UUAAUGGCUCUACCAAGACUAUGAUCAGUAGGGGAUCUAAGAGGGUAACCCUUCCACACUGGAUCUGAGACAAGGACCAGACUUCUACGGAAGGCAGCAGUGAGGAAUAUUGGUCAAUGGAGGAAACUCUGAACCAGCUAUGCCGCGUGUAUGGAUGACAGUCUUUUAGAUUGUAAACUUCUUUUACAUAGAAAUAAAAGUUACUACGGGAUAGUAACCUGAAGGUACUAUGCGAAUAAGUGUCGGCUAAUUUCGUGCCAGCAGCCGCGGUAAUACGAAAGACACAAGCGUUAUCCGGAUUUAUUGGGUUUAAAGGGUGUGUAGGCUGUUUAUUAAGUCAGUAGUGAAAGCUUACAGCUUAACUGUAAAAUUGCUAUUGAUACUGAUAAUCUUGAGUAAGAUUGGAGCAUCUGGAAUGUAUGGUGUAGCGGUGAAAUGCAUAGAUAUCAUACAGAACACCAAUAGCGAAGGCAGGAUGCUAAAUCUUUACUGACGCUGAGGCACGAAAGCGUGGGGAGCAAACAGGAUUAGAUACCCUGGUAGUCCACGCCCUAAACUAUGAUCACUAGCUAUUGGAAAAAUUAUAUUCAGUGGCUAAGCUAAAGCGAUAAGUGAUCCACCUGAGUAGUACGAUCGCAAGAUUGAAACUCAAAGGAAUUGACGGGGUUCUGCACAAGCGGUGGAGCAUGUGGUUUAAUUCGAUGAUACGCGAGGAACCUUACCAAGGUUUAAAUGUAUUCCGAAUAAGCUGGAAACAACUUAGUCUAUAAGACGUAAUACAAGGUGCUGCAUGGUUGUCUUCAGUUCGUGCUGUGAAGUGUUUGGUUAAGUCCUAUAACGAGCGCAACCCCUAUUGUUAGUUGCCAUCGGGUAAAGCCGGGGACUCUAACAAAACUGCCGGUGUAAACUGUGAGGAAGGUGG
Molecule: ribosomal RNA, 922 nt
Filed under: Candidatus Uzinura diaspidicola
Lineage: Bacteria; Pseudomonadati; Bacteroidota; Flavobacteriia; Flavobacteriales
Description: bacterial SSU rRNA
Rfam family: Bacterial small subunit ribosomal RNA
Source: RNAcentral